This is an RNA transcript of Microplitis mediator, 1380 nucleotides long. RefSeq lists it as uncharacterized. The record is from RefSeq and is a predicted model, not a curated record. Lineage: Eukaryota; Metazoa; Arthropoda; Insecta; Hymenoptera; Braconidae. The transcript has 4 exons.
AUAUAUAUAUAUAUAUAUAUAAACGCUCGAGUGUGAUGUGAACAACAUAACCUAAUAUUAUUUUGUCUUUUAAUUACUGUGAAAUAAUUUAUAAUAUAAUUUAUAGCUAUUGAUUAACAAUACUCAACGGUUCAUAAAAGGUAAAAUUUUAUAUAUAAGUAUGGAAAAUUUUCGACAGCGGAUACGAAAACCGCUUGAUUUGCUUGGACCACGACAACUAAAACGACGUACGCAACAAAUACUUGCACUGGAAUAUUUGUUAUCUAACUUAAAUAAUAAUAAUAAUAAUAACACUAACAUUAAUAUUUACAACAAUAACAAUAACGACAACGACCAUGACGACGAUAACAGUAGCCGCGAUUCAGACGUUUCAGAUGAUCCUAGCCGUUUUUCAGGAGCUGUCGAUCAAGCUAAUGAUGAGCCUUUGCCAUUGAUUGAUGGGCUUAACUUUUUUGAUCAACCAGUAACCCGAUCAGAGUAUUAGUUACUUAAUUUCCAUGUAAACAAUCAAGUUGCUAGUGGUGAUAAUGAUUCGAUUCUUACUGAGUUCAUAAAAGAGUGGCAUGUUAAACAUAAAAUCACACGUGAAGCGACUGACGAACUUUUACGCAAACUUCAAUCAUAGUCUCAAGAACAAUGUUUCUAUGCAAAAUGAAUUUAAAGACAUGAUACGGAAAGCUGGUGGUCGCAAUGUACAAAAAACCACUCGUUUUGCAUUGGAAUCAUUCAUUUCUGAUGAGUUGGCAAAACAAGUGACAUGGUCCGGAUUACACAGUGAGAUUAAAAUCUCAGCAUGUUUCUUCGUAGAAAUUAUUAGUGGUAAUAGAGCGAUAAAUAAUAUUGUAAGAUUAACUAUCCUGCUUAAAAAAUCCGAUAGAUUCUCAUAGCUGAAUUCAUGAGAAUCUAUUGGAUUCUAUGAGAUUUUUUAAGCAGGGUAUCUACUCUUCAAGUUCUAGCAAUAACUUGCUUUUUGAAGCCUUUGAUUGAUCUUUCUACUGUCAAAAAAUUUUAUUAAGCACUUUGAACGUUACAAAACCUGAUGUUGAACAUCAAAUGAAAGCCUGGUUUCAACGCGGUAGUGACCGAGCCAAUAAGAAUACCGAUCCUACAAAUGGUUCUGUCAAAAAGCAAAAAGUUGCCAAAUAAUUUGUAGUUACCAUCUUUAUAUUUACAAGUUGUUUUCAAAAAACUUUUUUUUAAUAGCAUAAAGAGUUUUCUGUUCUCUAAGCCUAAAUUAAUGAUCUCAAAACAUAAAAGUAAGCUUAUCAGAUAAAAAUAAAACUAUAAGUUAGUGUCACCAGUGCGCUAGUCACAACAACUAGUCUUGAUAUUAAGCUCACAAUUAUUAUUACUAUUAUUGUUAUUAAUAUAAAACUUAUG